Molecule: RNA transcript, 2332 nt
Organism: Sorghum bicolor (sorghum)
Lineage: Eukaryota; Viridiplantae; Streptophyta; Magnoliopsida; Poales; Poaceae
Gene name: RAN GTPase-activating protein 2
Exons: 4
Source: RefSeq, a predicted model, not a curated record
GCAAUACAUUUCGCUCCCCAGCGGCGGCGGCCACAGCCACACGCCCACACGUCUCGCGCGGGAUCUAAUUCGAAACAGCACUGCCCUUUCUUCUACGGUUCCCCAAGGGCACGCUCUCUCCCUCGCGGCGACUACUGGGCGACCGCUGCCGCUGCCCAGGUGCCCAUCGGUCCGUUCGCCAGGUCUUCUUCGGGCUCUUCGCCGCCGACAAGCGCUGCCAGGUUGCUGUGUUAAGUCCAAACUUGUCACAUGGAUUCAACACAAGAUUUCCAACCCAGGACAUUCUCUAUAAAGUUGUGGCCACCAAGUGAGAGCACACGGCUCAUGCUUGUUGAGAAGAUGACAAAGAAUCUGUCCACAGAGUCCAUUUUCUCUCGCAAGUAUGGUCUUUUGGGCAAGCAAGAGGCUCAUGAGAAUGCAAAAAGGAUUGAAGAACUUUGCUUUGCCUCGGCUGAUGAGCAUUUCAAAAGGGAGCCAGAUGGUGAUGGGAGUUCUGCUGUCCAGCUAUAUGCAAAGGAAACGAGCAAGCUGAUGUUGGAAGUUCUGAAAAAAGGCCCAAGCACUACUGCAGAACUGGAGACACCUGUAGCUGAUACACCUCUUGUGCCUGCUGAUACUGUACUGGAUAUAUCUGGUGGCAAGCGUGCUUUUAUUGAGGCAGAUGAAGCAAAGGAACUGCUGAGUCCACUCACCAAACCAGGAAAUUCGUAUAAAAGAAUUUGCUUUAGCAACAGGAGCUUUGGUAUUGGUGCUGCUAAUGUUGCAGGGCCAAUUCUUGAGGCAGUUAAGAAUCAGCUCACAGAGGUUGAUAUCUCAGAUUUUGUGGCAGGAAGGCCUGAGGAUGAAGCACUUGAUGUGAUGCGCAUAUUCUCCAAAGCGUUAGAGGGUUCUGUCCUGAGAUAUCUGAACAUCUCUGACAAUGCUUUGGGUGAGAAGGGUGUCAGGGCAUUCAGUGAGCUCCUGAAAUCACAGGAAUCCCUGGAAGAACUCUAUGUGAUGAAUGAUGGUAUAUCAGAGGAAGCUGCAAAAGCUCUAUCUGAGCUUAUUCCUGCAACUGAGAAGCUCAAGGUUCUUCACUUCCACAACAAUAUGACUGGAGAUGAAGGUGCUAUGUAUAUCGCUGAGAUGGUUAAGCGUUCUCCAAAUGUAGAGAGUUUCAGGUGCUCAGCAACAAGGAUAGGAUCUGAUGGUGGAGUCGCAUUGUCUGAGGCAUUAGGGACAUGCACUCGUCUGAAGAAACUUGAUCUCAGGGACAACUUGUUUGGUGUUGAUGCAGGGUUAGCUCUCAGCAAAACCCUUUCAAAGCUUCAUGAUCUUGUUGAACUUUAUCUCAGUGAUCUCAAUCUUGAGAAUGAGGGCACAAUAUCAAUUGUCAAAGCCCUCAAACAGUCAGCACCGCAGUUGGAGGUCCUUGAAAUGGCAGGAAAUGAAAUAAAUGCCAAAGCAGCCCUAGAUUUGGCAGAAUGCCUAACAGCAAUGCAAUCACUGAAGAAGCUGACCUUGGCUGAAAAUGAACUGAAGGAUGACGGUGCUGUGAUUAUUGCAAAAUCAUUGGAAGAUGGCCACACAGAUCUCAAGGAACUUGAUGUGAGCACGAACAUGCUGCAGAGGGUUGGAGCUCGGUGCUUUGCGCGGGCAGUCGCAGAUAAACCAGCUUUUGUGCAACUGAACAUCAAUGGAAAUUUCAUCUCCGAUGAAGGGAUUGAUGAGGUGAAGGAAAUUCUGAAGGCUGGUAAGAAAUCCCUGGAUGUUCUGGGCUCACUAGAUGAGAAUGAACCUGACGGGGAGCCUGAUGAUGAGGAAGAGGACGAGGAUGCUGAGGACAAUGAGGACGAGCUGGAUUUGAAGCUACAGAGCGUGAAGGUUGAGCAGGAUGAUUGACCAAGUUGGUUUUAAGAUGCUACCCACUUCCCCAACAUUUUUUUGGGUGACUGCGCUUUAGUAGUUGACCUACUACUAUAAGGUUCCACCAGUUACCUGAAUUUGACCAAGGGAAAUGUCCUGGGCUCACUAGAUGAGAAUGAACCUGACGGGGAGCCUGAUGAUGAGGACGAGGACGCUGAGGACAAUGAGGAUGAGUUUGAUUCGAAGCUGCAGAGUGUGAAGGUUGAGCAGGAUGAUUGACCAUUCUUAGGUUAAAUAUCUUUAGCGCUAACUGUUUUUUGUUGCAAUGUGCUGUAGAACUUAUGUGGUGGAUGCACUCAACCCACGCUGCAAUAAAGUAGUCUUUGGCCUCAAAACAUAUGUUAUGAAUAUCAACCAGCCAGAUCCUGAGAUCCAUGAAGAUUAACUCAUUAUAUUGGUCUGGAUGCGCUCCUGUGAGCUGGGUUUU